Molecule: long non-coding RNA, 402 nt
Organism: Solanum verrucosum
Lineage: Eukaryota; Viridiplantae; Streptophyta; Magnoliopsida; Solanales; Solanaceae
Exons: 3
Source: RefSeq, a predicted model, not a curated record
UCCCAGUUUUUGAAGGAGUAGUAGCCUCUGCCUCUGGAUAGGCUUAUUCGUUUUCCAUACGUCGUUGAUAUAUUAUUCCUGAAGAGCCAAGGUUAACCAAGUCCCUUUUGCAGUCACUUUUUGGCUGCCAUGGAAUAAAGUUUCAUGAUUUCCACUGCCAACUUGAGCGAAACUAUUUGGUCAAAGGAGAUAAUAUCAAUCUGUAAAGUUGGAUGUCAAACAUUGUGUUUCCCAAUCUCAAGAAUGUUAAAAUUGCCAGCUGCAUAACACAUUGUUUGAAAGAGGUGAUAAGCUUUUUGAACUUUCAGAGUUCCUACUAAAGAAGGCAAUGACUUGAAGAAGUCCGUUAUCAUAUCAAAGAUGAGAAUCUGCUGGAAAUGUUCAGAAAGAUGUGUUUCCCAA